RNAcentral lists this ribosomal RNA (301 nucleotides) under uncultured bacterium. RNAcentral describes it as "partial 16S ribosomal RNA". It matches the Rfam family "Bacterial small subunit ribosomal RNA", at positions 509 to 807 of the family's 1533-position model. The record is from RNAcentral.
CAGCCGCCGCGGUAAUACAGAGGGUGCGAGCGUUAAUCGGAUUUACUGGGCGUAAAGCGUGCGUAGGCGGCUAAUUGAGUCGGAUGUGAAAUCCCCGAGCUUAACUUGGGAAUUGCAUUCGAUACUGGUUAGCUAGAGUGUGGGAGAGGAUGGUAGAAUUCCAGGUGUAGCGGUGAAAUGCGUAGAGAUCUGGAGGAAUACCGAUGGCGAAGGCAGCCAUCUGGCCUAACACUGACGCUGAGGUACGAAAGCAUGGGGAGCAAACAGGAUUAGAUACCCGGGUAGUCCCUGUCUCUUAUAC